GAUGAACGCUGACAGAAUGCUUAACACAUGCAAGUCCACUUGAAUUUGGGUUUUUAACUUAGGUUUGGGUGGCGGACGGGUGAGUAACGCGUAAAGAACUUGCCUCACAGCUAGGGACAACAUUUGGAAACGAAUGCUAAUACCUAAUAUUAUGAUAAUAGGGCAUCCUAUAAUUAUGAAAGCUAUAAGCGCUGUGAGAGAGCUUUGCGUCCCAUUAGCUAGUUGGAGAGGUAACGGCUCACCAAGGCGAUGAUGGGUAGCCGGCCUGAGAGGGUGAUCGGCCACAAGGGGACUGAGACACGGCCCUUACUCCUACGGGAGGCAGCAGUGGGGAAUAUUGGACAAUGGACCGAGAGUCUGAUCCAGCAAUUCUGUGUGCACGAAGAAGUUUUUCGGAAUGUAAAGUGCUUUCAGUUGGGAAGAAACAAAUGACGGUACCAACAGAAGAAGUGACGGCUAAAUACGUG
This 467-nucleotide ribosomal RNA is filed under the name uncultured bacterium. Its description in RNAcentral is "partial 16S ribosomal RNA". It matches the Rfam family "Bacterial small subunit ribosomal RNA", at positions 28 to 507 of the family's 1533-position model. The record is from RNAcentral.